Molecule: ribosomal RNA, 451 nt
Filed under: uncultured organism
Description: partial 16S ribosomal RNA
Rfam family: Bacterial small subunit ribosomal RNA
Source: RNAcentral
UACACUCCUACGGGAGGCAGCAGUGGGGAAUCUUGCGCAAUGGGCGAAAGCCUGACGCAGCCAUGCCGCGUGAAUGAUGAAGGUCUUAGGAUUGUAAAAUUCUUUCACCGGGGACGAUAAUGACGGUACCCGGAGAAGAAGCCCCGGCUAACUUCGUGCCAGCAGCCGCGGUAAUACGAAGGGGGCUAGCGUUGCUCGGAAUUACUGGGCGUAAAGGGAGCGUAGGCGGACAUUUAAGUCAGGGGUGAAAUCCCGGGGCUCAACCUCGGAAUUGCCUUUGAUACUGGGUGUCUUGAGUAUGAGAGAGGUGUGUGGAACUCCGAGUGUAGAGGUGAAAUUCGUAGAUAUUCGGAAGAACACCAGUGGCGAAGGCGACACACUGGCUCAUUACUGACGCUGAGGCUCGAAAGCGUGGGGAGCAAACAGGAUUAGAAACCCCAGUAGUCCCAUG